UACGAAGGGUGCAAGCGUUACUCGGAAUUACUGGGCGUAAAGCGUGCGUAGGCGGUUCGUUAAGUCUGAUGUGAAAGCCCUGGGCUCAACCUGGGAAUGGCAUUGGAAACUGGCGAGCUAGAGUGCGGUAGAGGGUAGUGGAAUUCCCGGUGUAGCAGUGAAAUGCGUAGAGAUCGGGAGGAACAUCCGUGGCGAAGGCGACUACCUGGACCAGCACUGACGCUGAGGCGCGAAAGCGUGGGGAGCAAACAGG
Molecule: ribosomal RNA, 253 nt
Filed under: uncultured bacterium
Lineage: Bacteria
Description: partial 16S ribosomal RNA
Rfam family: Bacterial small subunit ribosomal RNA
Source: RNAcentral